RNAcentral lists this ribosomal RNA (726 nucleotides) under uncultured bacterium. Its description in RNAcentral is "bacterial SSU rRNA". It matches the Rfam family "Bacterial small subunit ribosomal RNA", at positions 789 to 1515 of the family's 1533-position model. The record is from RNAcentral.
GGUAGUCCACGCCGUAAACGAUGUCGACUUGGAGGUUGUGCCCUUGAGGCGUGGCUUCCGGAGCUAACGCGUUAAGUCGACCGCCUGGGGAGUACGGCCGCAAGGUUAAAACUCAAAUGAAUUGACGGGGGCCCGCACAAGCGGUGGAGCAUGUGGUUUAAUUCGAUGCAACGCGAAGAACCUUACCUACUCUUGACAUCCAGAGAACUUAGCAGAGAUGCUUUGGUGCCUUCGGGAACUCUGAGACAGGUGCUGCAUGGCUGUCGUCAGCUCGUGUUGUGAAAUGUUGGGUUAAGUCCCGCAACGAGCGCAACCCUUAUCCUUUGUUGCCAGCGGUUAGGCCGGGAACUCAAAGGAGACUGCCAGUGAUAAACUGGAGGAAGGUGGGGAUGACGUCAAGUCAUCAUGGCCCUUACGAGUAGGGCUACACACGUGCUACAAUGGCGCGUACAAAGAGAAGCGACCUCGCGAGAGCAAGCGGACCUCAUAAAGUGCGUCGUAGUCCGGAUUGGAGUCUGCAACUCGACUCCAUGAAGUCGGAAUCGCUAGUAAUCGUAGAUCAGAAUGCUACGGUGAAUACGUUCCCGGGCCUUGUACACACCGCCCGUCACACCAUGGGAGUGGGUUGCAAAAGAAGUAGGUAGCUUAACCUUCGGGAGGGCGCUUACCACUUUGUGAUUCAUGACUGGGGUGAAGUCGUAACAAGGUAACCGUAGGGGAACCUGC